Long non-coding RNA from Monodelphis domestica (gray short-tailed opossum), 2475 nucleotides. RefSeq lists it as uncharacterized. The record is from RefSeq and is a predicted model, not a curated record. Lineage: Eukaryota; Metazoa; Chordata; Mammalia; Didelphimorphia; Didelphidae.
CUAAGAGUGAGUACAGAGUGACAGUUGACUCACUGGGAAGAAGACAAGGGAGGUGGCUCUCUCUGAAGGAAAAAGACUUUGAAGCUGUCAGGAAACUGGACCAUCUUGAAGGAGUGGUUGAUUCACAGGACCCUAGAUGUGGCAGCCUAAUGUUCCAUUUGUCCAUACAUCUUGGCCAAAACGACUGCAGCAAGUUUCUAUCUCAUUCUCUAAUUUUGGUGUAGACUGUGGGAGGUGCCACGGCUUCUGGAGGUUGCUAUUCCAGGCUCAGGAGUGAUGGAGAUUCAGGGCAGAGUCAGGGGAAUCCUAUCCAUAAUGGAAUGUGCCAGGAAAAUAAACUAGAUAUGUUCAGCAAAUGAUCCAAGUACCUUUUUCCCUGUGUAUUCUAUAAGGAAUAAAUAUUGAGCAAAGUACAUGCUGAUUUAUCCACUCUUCUCCUUCAAAUGUUAAUGAGGCACGACAGGUAAACUGUCAUGCCUCACGUUGAGUAUAUUUAGCUCAGCAUGUCCAGAAUCAAGAUAAUCAGUCAUCAAGCAAUACUGUAAAGUACUUGAAAUAUAAGCUUUGGGCCAAUUGGACCAAAGCUACUUCCCUCUAACUCAUUAGAUGAGGUAGGCCCAUGGAUAGUUGGAGCUAGAGGGAAGAUGCACUAAGAUCCAAAGAGGAGCUAUCCUACAAAGCUGCUGGUGGCUUAAGUAUCUACCUCUGGCUAUCAUUCAGGUUUCCAUCACCCCUUGACUAAAAUAUUGAAACAGCCUCCUAAUUGAUCUCUGCAUUAAUUCUCUUACCACUCCAGUUAAUUCUUCACAUACAUACCAAAGUGAUUUUCCUCAAACGCAGAGAUGACCAGGUCACUCCUCUGUUUGCUGAACACUAGUGGCUCCCUAUUGCCUCAGGGAUCAAAUAAAAUCUCAUUUGAACUUCUGAGGUCCUUCAUAACUUGGUCUCUGUCUAUCAUUACAAGCUUGAAAUGCAUUGAGCAAUAUUUCCCUUCCUACUUUCCACACUCUAGAUAGACUGGCCUUCUCUCUGCUUUUCUCAUCUUCUUGCCAUCCUGCAUGAAUAGAAUAUACUCCUUUACCUCUAUUUCCUAGAAUUUAUGUCUUCCCUUCGUGACACAGCUCAGGAACUACCAUCUUCAUGAAGUCUUCCCUUAUCACCCCAAAAUUCUAAUGCCCUCAAUAACUACCUUGUAUUGAUUUGUAGUUGAUCUCUUUAUAUUUGUCUGUAAGUUCUUGUCAUUGGAACUCUAUUACUGCCAGGAUCAAAUAUAAAACCCUGUUUGGCUUUCAAAGCCCUUCAUCAACCUGCUUCUUCCUACUUUUUCAGUGGUUACAUUUUAUACAUUCCCUCCUCCCCACGUACUCUGUGAUCCCAAUGACACUGUUCUCCUUAUUGUUCCUCACAUAAGGCACUUCAUCUCCCAACUCAAUUUUCUUUUUUCUAACCCUUUCCUUCUGUCUUAGAAUCAAUACUAAGUACCAGUUCCAAGACAGCAAAGCAGUAAAGGCUGGGCACUGGGAGCUAAGUGCCUUGCCCAAAGUCACAUAGUUAAGAAGUCCUACCUAGGUGCCCCACCAACUCUAGCUAUUUUAGCUAUCAGUCUCAAUCAUCUAUUCUUCCUCAUCUUCAUCUCCUGGUUUCCUUCAGAUCCUAGCCAGAAUUCCACCUUCUGCAAAAAAAGUUUUCCCCAACUCUGAGGUAUCACCUCACACCUAGCAGAUUGGCUAACAUGACAGCUAUGGAAAGUAAUGAAUGCUGGAGGGGAUGUGGCAAAGUAGGGACAUUAAUGCAUUGCUGGUGGAGUUGUGAACUGAUCCAACCAUUCUGGAGGGCAAUUUGGAACUAUGCCCAAAGGGCAAUAAAAGACUGUCUGCCCUUUGAUCCAGCUAUAGCACUGCUGGGUUUGUACCCCAAAGAGAUAAUAAGGAAAAAGACUUGUACAAGAAUAUUCAUAGCUGCACUCUUUGUGGUGGCCAAAAAUUGGAAAAUGAGGGGAUGCCCGUCAAUUGGGGAAUGGCUGAACAAAUUGUGGUAUAUGUUGGUGAUGGAAUCCUAUUGUGCUAAAAGGAUAAUAAAGUGGAGGAAUUCCAUGGAGACUGGAAGAACCUCCAGGAAGUGAUGCAGAGUGAAAGGAGCAGAACCAAAAAAACAUUGUACACAGAGACUGAUACAUUGUGGUACAAUCGAAGGUGAUGGACUUCUCCAUUAGUGGCAGUGUAAUGUCCCUGAACAAUCUGCAGGGAUCUAAAAAAUACUAUCCACAAGCAGAGGAUAAACUGUGGGAGUAAAAACACUGAUGAAAAGCAACUGCUUGACUACAGGGUUGGAGGAGAUAAGACUGAGGAGAGACUCUAAAUGAACACUAUACUGCAAAUUCCAACAACAGGGAAAUGGGUUCGAGUCAAGACCACAUGUGAUAACCAGUGGAAUCGUGCCUCAGCUAUGGGAGAGGGAAAGGUGGUGGGAGGUGGG